UUAAAGAGCAAAGUAAGCGAAAGUUUAUGACGCAAAGCCGAAGGUCUAAAAGUUAUAAAACUCAAGAUAGCUAGGUUGC
This 79-nucleotide non-coding RNA is filed under the name human gut metagenome. Its description in RNAcentral is "Cyclic di-GMP-I riboswitch". It matches the Rfam family "c-di-GMP-I riboswitch aptamer", at positions 6 to 83 of the family's 87-position model. Rfam says of the family: GEMM was predicted in a large-scale screen for bacterial structured RNA regulatory elements. Genes associated with GEMM are involved in a diverse array of functions, including chemotaxis regulation, signal transduction, secretion and chitin. The record is from RNAcentral.